GAAAUGCGAUACUUGGUGUGAAUUGCAGAAUCCCGUGAACCAUUGAGUCUUUGAACGCAAGUUGCGCCCCAAGCCGUCAGGCCGAGGGCACGCCUGCCUGGGUGUCACGCAUCGUUGCCCCCCACCGUCUACAGACGUGUGCGGGGAGCGGAGAUUGGCCUCCCGUGAGGGUGUUCCCUCGCGGUUGGCCCAAACACAGGUCCCGGCCGAGGAAGCCGCGACUUUCGGUGGUUGUUAACAAACAGACAUGCCUUGUCGUGCUCUCCUCGUGCCUUUUGCGGCACCCUCGACCCUAAGAAGGGCCAGUGCACUCUUUGAGUCAGUUGCGCUCGCUUUGCGACCCCAGGUCAGGCGGGACUACCCGCUGAGUUUAAGC
Molecule: unclassified non-coding RNA, 376 nt
Filed under: plant metagenome
Description: partial contains 5.8S ribosomal RNA, internal transcribed spacer 2, and large subunit ribosomal RNA
Rfam family: 5.8S ribosomal RNA (bases 1-107)
Source: RNAcentral